UUAUGUUCUAUGAAAAUGAUUUUAUUUCAGGUGAGAUUUCAGGGAGACAGGAGAAGGAAAUCCAGUCUGUCCUUUGCAGAAGAUAGAGAUCCCAGUGCUGCUGGCCCAAAAGACAUGCCCUCUGACAAGGCAGUGAACAACUCAUCAGAGCCAAAUCCAAACAGGGGCAUGCACGCCCUCCCACCCAACUUGAGAUAUUUGGGUUUUGGAGCAUAAACUGGAGAAACAAGUUGUGCUGAAUCUGUGACAUGGAAAAAAUCAGCCUUCUCCUGUAACGUAUGUUAAUGGCUCCCUGUGUUCUUUCUGACAAACUUUACUUUUCCACAGGUGAGUAAGUUCUACAACACUGCUUUGCAUCUGCAGGAGCGCAUCUCUGUAUUUCCUGAGUGGCAUGUGUUAGGUGCUGAGGGAUACAGCAAAACCUGGGGCAGCCAGAAAUGCCAAUCAGUCUUUUUAGAUUUAUAUAAACUUAUUUUUCUUUUUGCCUUACGUCUAGAAUAGUCUAUUCAUUGGAGCGCAACAAAAUUCUAGUGACUUGGUGAAAUGCUGUGCGUAAAAAUUCAGAUUUUAAAGCAGACGUGGCUACAUAAAUAAUUCAAAAUGAAGUAAUAAUAAAGAUCCCAUUUGCUAUACA
RNAcentral lists this long non-coding RNA (634 nucleotides) under Numida meleagris (helmeted guineafowl). RNAcentral's name for it is "lncRNA (ENSNMEG00000020710.1)". Lineage: Eukaryota; Metazoa; Chordata; Aves; Galliformes; Numididae. The record is from RNAcentral.